UCUCUCUCUUUCUCUCCCGCUGAAACUCUUUAAAUUCAGAGUAUAUCUUAUAGUCGACAAAUGAAAGUCGAUGGAGAAUCGAAAAGAUUUCACACUUUGAUUUGGUGAUACUGCAAUCUGGAAGGUGAAGAUUAUAGCUGCUCUUGACAGAAAUAAUCAAAGCAUGGCUGCUGUUGAUAACCAAAUUAUGGAACAAGAGGCUGAAGUUGAAGAUUCAAAUGCUUAAGCAAAAUAUUUCAUUCUGAAAGAUUUGGUUAUGACAUUUCUUAUGUUUUGUUUUGUAAUGACGAUGUU
Molecule: non-coding RNA, 294 nt
Organism: Camellia sinensis
Lineage: Eukaryota; Viridiplantae; Streptophyta; Magnoliopsida; Ericales; Theaceae
Source: RefSeq, a predicted model, not a curated record